CCUACGGGUGGCAGCAGUGAGGAAUAUUGGUCAAUGGGCGGGAGCCUGAACCAGCCAAGUCGCGUGAGGGAAGAAGGUACAGUGUAUUGUAAACUUCUUUUAUCAGGGAAUAAAGGUAGGCACGUGUGCCUAUUUGAGUGUACCUUAUGAAUAAGCAUCGGCUAACUCCGUGCCAGCAGCCGCGGUAAUACGGAGGAUGCGAGCGUUAUCCGGAUUUAUUGGGUUUAAAGGGUGCGUAGGUGGUUUGUUAAGUCAGCUGUGAAAGUUUGGGGCUCAACCCUAAAAUUGCCGUUGAAACUGGCAGACUUGAGUGGGUGUGAGGUAGGCGGAAUGCGCGGUGUAGCGGUGAAAUGCUUAGAUAUCACGCAGAACCCCGAUUGCGAAGGCAGCGUACUAAGUCCUCACUGACACUGAAGCACGAAAGCGUGGGUAUCAAACAGGAUUAGAUACCCCAGUAGUC
RNAcentral lists this ribosomal RNA (460 nucleotides) under uncultured bacterium. RNAcentral's name for it is "partial 16S ribosomal RNA". It matches the Rfam family "Bacterial small subunit ribosomal RNA", at positions 338 to 795 of the family's 1533-position model. The record is from RNAcentral.